RNAcentral lists this ribosomal RNA (445 nucleotides) under uncultured bacterium. Its description in RNAcentral is "bacterial SSU rRNA". It matches the Rfam family "Bacterial small subunit ribosomal RNA", at positions 331 to 792 of the family's 1533-position model. The record is from RNAcentral.
ACAGACUCCUACGGGAGGCAGCGGUGGGGAAUAUUGCACAAUGGGGGAAACCCUGAUGCAGCGACGCCGCGUGAGUGAAGAAGUAAUUCGUUAUGUAAAGCUCUAUCAGCAGGGAAGAAAAUGACGGUACCUGAGUAAGAAGCCCCGGCUAACUACGUGCCAGCAGCCGCGGUAAUACGUAGGGGGCAAGCGUUAUCCGGAUUUACUGGGUGUAAAGGGAGCGUAGACGGCAGUGCAAGUCUGGAGUGAAAGGCGGGGGCUCAACCCCUGGGACUGCUCUGGAAACUGUAAAGCUGGAGUGCGGGAGGGGCAGGCGGAAUUCCUGGUGUAGCGGUGAAAUGCGUAGAUAUCAGGAGGAACACCGGCGGCGAAGGCGGCCUGCUGGACCGUAACUGACGUUGAGGCUCGAAAGCGUGGGGAGCAAACAGGAUUAGAUACCCCCGUA